GAUGAACGCUGACAGAAUGCUUAACACAUGCAAGUCCACUUGAAUUUGGGUUUUUAACUUAGGUUUGGGUGGCGGACGGGUGAGUAACGCGUAAAGAACUUGCCUCACAGCUAGGGACAACAUUUGGAAACGAAUGCUAAUACCUAAUAUUAUGAUAAUAGGGCAUCCUAUAAUUAUGAAAGCUAUAAGCGCUGUGAGAGAGCUUUGCGUCCCAUUAGCUAGUUGGAGAGGUAACGGCUCACCAAGGCGAUGAUGGGUAGCCGGUCUGAGAGGGUGAUCGGCCACAAGGGGACUGAGACACGGCCCUUACUCCUACGGGAGGCGGCAGCGGGGAAUAUUGGACAAUGGACCGAGAGUCUGAUCCAGCAAUUCUGUGUGCACGAUGAAGUUUUUCGGAAUGUAAAGUGCUUUCAGUUGGGAAGAAACAAAUGACGGUACCAACAGAAGAAGUGACGGCUAAAUACGUG
RNAcentral lists this ribosomal RNA (467 nucleotides) under uncultured bacterium. RNAcentral describes it as "partial 16S ribosomal RNA". It matches the Rfam family "Bacterial small subunit ribosomal RNA", at positions 28 to 507 of the family's 1533-position model. The record is from RNAcentral.